CGGGAGCUUGCUCCCUUAGGUCAGCGGCGGACGGGUGAGUAACACGUGGGUAACCUGCCUGUAAGACUGGGAUAACUCCGGGAAACCGGGGCUAAUACCGGAUGCUUGAUUGAACCGCAUGGUUCCAAUCAUAAAAGGUGGCUUUUAGCUACCACUUACAGAUGGACCCGCGGCGCAUUAGCUAGUUGGUGAGGUAACGGCUCACCAAGGCGACGAUGCGUAGCCGACCUGAGAGGGUGAUCGGCCACACUGGGACUGAGACACGGCCCAGACUCCUACGGGAGGCAGCAGUAGGGAAUCUUCCGCAAUGGACGAAAGUCUGACGGAGCUACGCCGCGUGAGUGAUGAAGGUUUUCGGAUCGUAAAACUCUGUUGUUAGGGAAGAACAAGUACCGUUCGAAUAGGGCGGCACCUUGACGGUACCUAACCAGAAAGCCACGGCUAACUACGUGCCAGCAGCCGCGGUAAUACGUAGGUGGCAAGCGUUGUCCGGCAUUAUUGGGCGUAAGCGCGCGCAGGCGGUUUCUUAAGUCUGAUGUGAAGCCCCCGGCUCAACCGGGGAGGGUCAUUGGAACUGGGGACUUGAGUGCAGAAGAGGAGAGUGGAAUUCCACGUGUAGCGGUGAAUGCGUAGAGAUGUGGAGGACACCAGUGGCGAAGGCGACUCUCUGGUCUGU
RNAcentral lists this ribosomal RNA (676 nucleotides) under uncultured Bacilli bacterium. RNAcentral's name for it is "bacterial SSU rRNA". It matches the Rfam family "Bacterial small subunit ribosomal RNA", at positions 73 to 737 of the family's 1533-position model. The record is from RNAcentral. Lineage: Bacteria; Bacillati; Bacillota; Bacilli.